This is a long non-coding RNA of Equus caballus (horse), 8765 nucleotides long. NCBI's taxonomy places the organism in Eukaryota, Metazoa, Chordata, Mammalia, Perissodactyla, Equidae. The record is from Ensembl.
GGUUUUUAAUUUUAAAAUGACUGCCUUUCAGCAAUGGCAUUAACAUCGUGAGAAAGCAAACAGAAUGAUUCACGGAAAUGCCUUUUCCCGGCUUUCUCCCCUGACACCAGCGUGCGGGCUCCUUUCCCACCAUCUUAGAGGCACUGGGAGGUUGUGAAGGAUUUUCUCUCCAGCGUGCGAGGACUCCGCCUGAGACUUAGGACGCCCGCUCUCCCCGGGCGCCUCUCCCCGCCUCUGAUGGAUUAACACCAGCCCCGGGCGGUGGGAGGCCUGCGGGUGGGGCCGAGCCCCCGCCCUCCGCCUGUCCCGGCGCUGUGUCUCCUCGCAUGCAACAGUCUGUCGUGACACCAGCCAGGCGCAGCCAGCACCUCGCGGGGCCGCGUCCCCGGCCCGCGCGCUCGGCUCCUCCUCCUGCCGGCGACUCUCCCGGCGGGGACCAGGCGGCGCCCGCACUCGCCGCGCCCGGGCGGCUGGCGCUGUCCCGCCGGAUCAGGCCAAGGAGCCCCCGAGUUAGAGGAGAGCCGCCGGCCCCGGAAGGAAGGACAGGUGCCUUAGCUUAAAGUCCCCAAGUGUGGGCGCCGGGCCCUGAGGAAGCCAGACAUGCUGCGGCUGGACGCAGGGCGCUGAUGAUCCGCCGGCUCGGCAGCACCAUGCCUUUCCCGCCCGUGCCGCCGCCGCCGCCCGCCCCGGCCCCGGGGGUCCCCGCGGCGCGCCCGCCGCCCCGGAGGCCCGGCAUCCCCCGGAAAGCGGCGGCGCCCGCCUGCGCCCCGCCCGGGCCCUCGCCGCCCGCCGCGGCGGGGAGAAGAAGAAGAGGCCCCCCGAGCGGCCCGAGGGGCUGCUGUCCAGCUCCUGGCCCUCGGCCACCCUGAAGCGGCCGCCGGCCCGCCGCGCCCCGGGCCCGGCCCCUCCGCGCGCCCCGCCCCAGGCCGCGCCCUGCCGGCCGCGCGCCCCCGCCGCCUGCGCCCCGGCCCGGCCGGCCGGCUCCGGCCACAGCCCCGCGGGGGCCACCGCCUCGGGGGCGCGGACCGCCGGCUCGGGGACGGCCGCGGGGGCAGGGCCCGACGACGCGCUGCGCUUCUCCCUGAGCCUCACCCCCGAGGCCGUGCUGCUCAUCCAGAGGCGCCACAUGGAGAAGCAGCUGCUGGCGCGGCCCCGGCGGCCGCUCCCCUCGCCCUCGGCCGACGCCAGGCGGCUGCUCGCCCCCUGCCCCCGGGCCACGGCCGCGGGUCUCUCGCGGCGCCCGGCUCCGCCCGGCGGCCUGCAGGCCCUCGACCUCGGGCCGCGGCCCGCCGACCUGCGCCCGGUGCUCAAGGUGUCGCUGCUCAACGAGCGGCACAAGUACGACGACGUGGAGUACGAGGAGGAGGCCGAGGUGGUGGACGAGGGCCUGGUCCGCAAGUGCACCGAGUGGCUGCGCGGCGUGGAGUCGGCGGCCGGUCGCGCCGGUCCCCUGGACGCGCUGCCGCACCUGAGCACGCUGUGACCCGAAGGACGGACGCCUCCCGAGGCCGGCUCCCGCCUCCUGGCACCUGUGAGCCAGGUGACGCUGCACGCCCACCUCCCUGCGCCUGGGAGCCAGGUGGGCUUCCUAGUCCCCGCCGCUGCCUCCUGGCCACACUGUGGCACCUGAGCACCUGUGUGCCAGGUGGGCCUGGUGGGACGAGAGGGUCUCACUCGACGCUCACCGCCCACCCCCUGGACGUGCUGCUCCACCCGGGCGCCCUAGGGGGAGACACAGACAGCCUCGCCGACCCCCAUGGCCCACCUCCUGCCCAGGCGCCUCCCCGCUCCCCAGCCGGACAGCCGACGCCCCUCCCUCUCCACACUGGUGGUCUCGACCCCACAAGUCUGCCUUCUGCACCAUCCUGGUGUCCUUGCCUCGUGGGGGUGUAAGCAGCGGUGAAAACGCCUCUCCGCCCUGGUCCCCUCAGGUUCGUUGAGGCCCUCUGCUGCGGAGUCCUCGGUAGGCGGGUGUCACUCUCUGCAGGUGCUGGGCCGGGGUGCCCCGGUCUGAACAGUGGGUGACAGCCACGAGGAGGGAUGGGGGACCAGGAGCGCGGGGUCUGUUGCACAACCGGACGUGGCGCUGCAUUUGUGAUUUUGUUUCUUCUCGAAAGAAGAGACGUUGCGGGUAUUGGAAAGCCUGAAAAUGGAAGGUAACCGAAUGUUCGAACUCGGAAGGCGAAGGGGCUAGCCCACCAGGAGCUAGCCCACCUGGUGGAUGGACGUAGUGAUGGCAACGGUGCCAUGCUCACGACACGACUCUCCGCGGGCUGCGUGCUCUGCGGGCCUCUCUGCCAGCCGCGGGCAAGUCUGCCCCACACACACUCUCACACACACGUACAUGCUCACAUGCUCACGGAUGCUUACCCUUACACUCACACACUUACACUUGCUCACGCAAUGCUCUCACGCACACUCUCUCCCACUCAUACACACACACACACUCACACUCACGCUCACACAUGCAUGUGCACAAACACACACACCAUGCCUACCCUCGCACAAACUCAUUUGCUUACAUGCUCACACACACCCUCACACACUUGCCCUCACACAUUCACACGAGUGCACACACAUGCUCACUCACGCUCACACACAUACGCACCCUUACACACAGUCAUACUCCUGCACACACACGUAUACAUACAGUGCCCUCACACUCACACGUACUCAUGCUUACAUGCAUACACACCCUCACACUCGCUCUCACACGCAUGCACACACUUUCUCACACAGCCUCACACACUUGCUCUCACACAGAUACACACUCACACACAGUCUCACACUCACACACACACACACACCCACACAGGUCUUCUCAAGCACAGCUGCAGGCGUUGUUUUCAGUGGCUGCGUUGAGGUGCGAGCGGGAGCGAGGGGCAGCUUCUGGUGAAAUUUGUUUGUAUUUGAAGCGCUGCUCACAAAAUACCUUUUGUGCUCCAGAAAGAAGGAGUAACCAGAGGAGAGGGGAAGAAUGCAGAAAGCUGUCCCCAGACGUGGAACAAAACGUCCUGGGCUGGAGGAGCGAUUCCUUUGAGGGAGAAAGCGGGGAGGGAGUUCCUGGGGGUCACGGGGUAGAUGUGUGCGUUUUCCGUACUUUUAAUCAGUGUGUGAAAAUCGUAGUGGCUUUGUACCGUGGUAUAUAGUGAUUUUAAAAAGAAGAAAAUUUCUAUUUAUUAUUUGAGUAAAGAGUAAAACUCCUCUGCCUUAUAGGAGACAUACCCUUCCCGGCUAACUCCAGGCUGAUUUCUAGAUCUUUCCUCCUUGGGUCAGAGUGUAUUUAACUCUAAGAUUGAGAAGGAAAAAAAGUGCUAUAAUCAGAUAAGGCUGAUUAUAGAAGAGUAAUGUAUUACCUCAAUUUUUGACUUAUUUUGUAAAAGUCAAUAACUACUUUAAUGUUUAUCUCGUUAGACUUUAACGUGUCAAGUCUUAAUUAUAUUUUCCAUUGAAGCCUUACAUUUUUGAAAACCGAUUUUCUAUUUUUCUCGUGGAGGUCUUUGCUCUAAUCUCUCUCCCUCCCUCUCUCCCUCUCUCUCUCUCUCUCUGUCUCUUUCUCUCUCUCUCUCUCUCUCUCUCUCUCUCGUGCUAGGCACAAAUUGAGUUAGACAGGAAGCACUGAGUUCCCUGGGAGCUAGAUCAGCCACCAGAUGAGUUGCCAGAACAAAAACCCUCCCCACUGAAUAGCUUUUCUUCUCUGACCCCUGUUUGAAUGCAGAGAGCUAGAUUGCUUUUAUUUAAAAUGAGCGUAUUAAUCCCAGAGAGGCAAAGUUAGCGACCGUGAGGAGGUGAAAUUGAGACUCAAGCCCUGUGAUGCUCUGGCUGCCCCACCUCCCCCACCCCAUGGCAUCUGCCGCUCCAGUCCUGGGGGAGGAGGUCCCCUCUGGACGUGCCCCAGCAGGUUGGGAGUGAACUGACUGUGAGGUCAAGGUGCGCAGCAUCAUAACAUGGUCUCUUUUGCACUGGGUGCGAAUAUCAAUAGUUAAGAGGCCCGGGUUUCUGCCCAUCGUUCCAAUAGCAACAAGGUUUUUAAAGACUUUCCUAAAGUCGUUAACUUUGCUGAGCAUCUGUUCCUGUCUUCCUGUGUCUUCUGGGUCAUGUUGCUGUUACAGUGUGUAGGUCCCUCUCUUCCCCUGCAAGUCUAUCUCCAUGUCCCUGUCACUUUCUUUCUUUCCUUUCCUUUCCUCACCCUCUCUCUGUCUCUGGGUCCCCUCCCCAUCUCUCCCUCUUAGCUGGCCACAGGACGACACGAAGCACUUUUUCCUCGUUUGCAUUUGUGGGAUGGAGUUUUGUGUGCCUUGUUCUUUGGUCUGAAAAGCCGAUGAGUGGAACACGAAUGUUGCCCUGGUUGAUGACCCUUAAUAAAAAACGAGAAAGGUUCUGCGCAUGAUACGUGAUGUCUAUUCAUGCUGUUACUGUUUGAGAAGGUUUUCUAAGUCGCUAUGCUACAAUUUCUUAAUGUUUUGAAUAAAAGAGAAAUUCAUUGCCUUGUACUUCUUCUUGAGGAGGAUGUUAAAAACUGGUCAGGAAGAGAUCACCGAGGCAUUUAGAAUUCGUCUGAGGUGGUCUCUCCUUAGUGCUGCCCCAUCUGAGGUUCUGGAACUUCCAGGGGUUGACAAAGGUUCAUUGGCCUUAAUUACUGCUAGAAAUUACCAGGAUUUUAAGAAUUCUAAUGAUAAUCAAAUAUUAUCAUAAUAAGGCUGUUUGGCACUGGUACUUAACCUUUUGUACAACCUUCUGAUACAGCCCCCAAGAGAGCUGUAUUCCAGUAUACGCCUAAGAAUAUGCACCACCUAUCAAGAGAAAUGUGCAUGUGUUUUGUGAAGCUCAUGGACCCCAGAUUAAGAACUCCUUCUUUUUUUUUUUUUUUUUUUUGAGGAAGAUUAGCCUGAGCUAACAUCUGCCACCAAUCCUCCUCUUUUUGCUGAGGAAGACUGACCCUGAGCUAACAUCCAUGACCAUCUUCCUCUACUUUAUAUGUGGGACGCCUGCCACAGCAUGGCUUGAUGAGCGGUGCCAUGCCCGCACCUGGGAUCCGAACCGGCGAACCCUGGGCCACCAAAGUGGAAUGUGUGCACUUAACCACUGCGCCCCCGGGCCGGCCCCAACAACUCCUUCUAUGUACACUCACUAGAACAUUUUUCUUUUAGUGAAAGUAUUUUAAGCUGGUAGCUCAUAUCAAUCAGAAGUUAAAGGUUCAAUUUGAAUAAUGGUGAGGACUAUUGGAUUACUCAAACGGGGUAUGUCACUUAAUAAAUGUGGUUUGUGUUUCAAAUCUUUGAGUCCAUGGGAAGAAAAGUAAUAAAAUGUGUCCAUGGAAGUAAGAAGGUAGGAACGAUGCUCUCUCUGCAUCAGUAGUGGUAUUAUCAUUAAAUUCUCCCAUCACAGGAGUUGGGGGCUCCCACCCCAGAGGAUUAAGCUUCCUAAAUUGUAGUGAGAGAUCAUGGAACGUCAGUAAGUGGACGUGCAUGUGAAAUCCCCGAGGUUGAGCGCAGAUGGCUUAAUGUCCUGUAGUCAGGGAAUACUCUGGCACUUUAAGAUGGGUUUUAUGUUGAUCCGCUUUAUUUCCAGAAAAAGUAGAUGCCAUAAGUCAGAAACUAUAGUUCUGUGGUUUCCCGGAAGUCGCACAUCUCUGUUGAAGGUGGUGAUCUGUGGGAUCUGGUAUGUUACACUGACUCUGAAACCAUAAUUUGGUACCAUCGAUUUUGGGAUGGAAAUUUCAGCCAACAGUGGUGUGUCCUUCAAGGCAAGCCCUGAACUAACAGUCUAUGUGAAAUAAGCAAUAAGAACACUUGUGCGUUACCAGAACUGCUCUCAAAUGCCUUUGCAACCUGUGGAUGCCCGGAGUGGCCCAGUGCAGACCCGCAGAGCCUUUGUCCAGAUGCUGACCGGUUCAGAGGAUGCUGCCUCAGGGGCCGGGGAUGGUGGUGCCACGCCCAGCUUAGAGACUGAGCACCUUCCCUGGACCGUCUGGGAGUAGGUACCUCACUGAGGUUAAAUGUGGCCUUUAGAGCCUUGGAGACUAGAGUUCCCAUACUGACAUUGUCCUUUGUCAGCCGUCUCUCAUUAAACCGUCUCCUCUUCAUACAAUGGGGAUGAGACAACAUGGCGGAUCCCAUGAGGAGUAUGAUGGCGUGUGUGUAAAGCAUUUGGGACAACACCUGCACGUCACCAGCUCAAGGUCACCUGUAAUUAUUACCACCUCAAAAAAUCUUCACUAAUCAAAAAACGUCAUUCUCUGGCACUUAUAUGUGCAAAAUCAACCCCUUCCUGGCUACAGUAUUCUGAGGUUUUUCUCUCCAACCAUUUAAUGCACACCUGUGGUGGGGGCUAUAAUCGUAUUUCCCUGAGGAAUUUAAAAAUAAAAAUAUCUAUUGUGUUUUACCAUCUCAUUUCAAACUGAUUUAUUAUUUAUGCCCUGAACACAAAAUUUAGCUCUGAGCUUUCUAGUAGCGAAGUCAAAAUUAAAAAUAGUGAGUUAAGUAAUAUCAAUAUCUAAUAACAAGAAACACUAACACAUUAAAAGACAUAAACUUUUUCUUAGAGACAAUUAUUUUUGUGUCAUGUUUAUAUUUAUAUUAUAUACAAUAUAAUGGAUGGUGUCCCUAAUGCAGUUUCUGGAGGAUGCAUAAAUGUUUUUAUAUCACUGUUGGUUCUCCAUGAAAGUCAGUGGGAUACUCAUCAGCUGCAUUCUCUGCUGUCUUGGGCCAUUCUACCUUAUGGAAGUGGAUUGUAUGGAAACCUGCAAAAAAUGGUAGUGAAUCUUUAAGAAGUAGUUUUAGAUAUAUUCAAAUAUUUAGCAAAUACUGGCCUAAAACCCCAGAAAAUUGUCUGUACAUCAGUUCCUAAACUUUUUGGUCUCAAGACCCCUUCAUACUCUUAAAACUUAUUGAGGGAAGCACAGAGCUUAUGUUUACAUGGAUUACGUCUACCAACCCUUCCUGUAUUAGGAAUAAAAACCAAGACCCUCAAAGUGUCCAGGGACCCUCAAAAGUCUUUGGGUCACGCUUUGAGAACCCCUGGUUUCUACCAUAUAUAUAUCAGUUCCUAAUGCCCGUCAUCUGUGCUGAAAUGAACAGCUGAAAUACUGGGGAAACAUUUUCAGACGCGGAUGAUCCAGACCCCAACCUAGAGAUCCUAGUUCGGUAGACCUGGGAAGGGGCUCAGGAGAGGCUGGUGUGCAGUGGAGUUCGGGAACCACUGCUCUAAAGCAAGAAAUACAGGGUGGGACUCAGCAAAUACUUGAGGCGGAUCUUACAAAUUGUGUGUUCUGCCAUCAGAGACCCUGAACGUUACUGUAUCAGAAUAUGAGAAUCUCCCUUUCUGGGUGUCAUGCUCUCUUCCCCAGCCACGUGUUAUUCACGGCAUGUGGAGGAUAACUCAGUGACCAGAAUGAUGAAAGUUAUCACACAUCAGUUUUAUUUGCCCGUUGGCUCAGCAUGGCCAUGGGACAAUGGCGCUGGGUCAUACUGGACAUCCCCCUUUUGGAAGCUUCAUCUCAGACCCUCCUCUCCCAGAGUUCCACGCUGACUGAGGUUCCAAGCCUUCGCUAGGCUACCUCUGUAAUCAUCAUUAUCAUUGCCUCCAGAUGAACGCUUACAAUCAUAUCACUUUGAUAGCUCUAUCCCAUAACAUUACCAGAGGGGUGGGCCUGCUCUGAGGACCACAGACACGCAGCCCUGCGUAUUGAAAAGCCACCUCCAAAUAGUGUACAAAUUUUUUUCUGAUUUUAUGAGCAAACUCUAAUAAGUAUUAAUAGAAUAUUUUACUUUGAACAGGAUAGCAUCCCAGUGGGCCCAGAAUAAUUCAUUUCUUCAGCAAAUAUUUAUCCUGCUUCUACUGGAUGAGAGGUACCUGGGAUAUGAGACUAAUUAGACACUGUUCCCUCUAUAACUUAAUGAGUUGACCUGUGAAAAGGUGUAAUUUAGGGUACUAUCUGCUGGGGCUGGCCCCCUGGCCGUGUGGUUAAGUUCGCACACUCUGCUUGGGUGGCUCAGGGUUUCGCUGGUUUGGAUCCUGGGCACAGACCUAGCAUCACUCAUCAGGCCAUGCUGAGGCGGCGUCCCACAUAGCAGAGCCAGAAGGAUCUACAACUAGAAUCUACAACUAUGUACCGGGGGCUUUGGGAAGAAGAGGAAGAAGAAGAAGAAGAAAGAUUGGCAACAGAUGUUAGCUCAGGUACCAAUCUUUAAAAGGAAAGGACAUGUCUGCCAAGAGCAAUGAUUUUGGUGGAGGACAACUGACAUUGAGUUGCUCUUUCUGACAGCGAUUGGUCUAUAUUGUUCUGCUCGGGCUGCCCUAACAGAAUACCACAGACUGGCCGGCUUCAACAGCAGUGGGGCCAGAUAAAAAGAUGGGAAAUGUGACGUUAGAGCUUCGGUAUAGAUAAAUCCUACACAUCGCUAAAAAUACUAGAGACACAUAGGCAGAGUCAACGUUGAAGAGCAAAUCCUGUACACUUAACACCACAGUAAUUCCACAUGGGUCCUGGGGUCGGCAGAGGGGGGAUGUGGCCUCCCCGCUUCCCUGCGUUUGUGUCACACGUCCAGGAAAAUGGCUCUGCAAAUCUGCUCUGGACGUCCUGCCAGCAUGGACUCGACACUUUGUCGCUUUAUGAAUGGAGGGGCCAGUACCCUUCAAGUUAAGAUGAUUGUAGAGAGAUUACAGAAAGUGACCUAGAUUUUAUUAUUUCGUCACACAACAGAGUUUGGGAUGGAAUUGCGUGGUUUCUAUGAUGAAAGCAUGAGUUUCAUUUCAUAUUCCAG